RNAcentral lists this ribosomal RNA (601 nucleotides) under Argonema galeatum A003/C4. RNAcentral describes it as "bacterial SSU rRNA". It matches the Rfam family "Bacterial small subunit ribosomal RNA", at positions 945 to 1532 of the family's 1533-position model. Lineage: Bacteria; Bacillati; Cyanobacteriota; Cyanophyceae; Oscillatoriales; Oscillatoriaceae. The record is from RNAcentral.
UUUAAUUUCGAUGCAACGCGAAGGACCCUUACCCGGGACUUGACAUGUUCCGGAAUUCUUCUGAAAAGGGAGGACCUGCCUUCGGGAAACCGGAACACAGGCUGAGGCAUGGCCGUCGUCAGCUGGUGUCGUGCGAUGUUGCGUUAAGUCCCCGCAACGAGCGCAACCAUCGUUCUUAGUUGCCAUCAUUAAGCUCGGGCACUCUGACGAGACUCACCGGUGACUAACCGGAGGAACGGUGAGGAUGACGUCAAGUCAGCAUGCCUCCUUACGUCCUGGGCUACACACGUACUACAAUGCUACGGACAAAGGGCAGCAAGCAUGCGAAUGCAAGCUAAUCCCAUAAACCGUGGCUCAGUUCAGAUCGCAGGCUGCAACUCGCCUGAGUGAAGGCGGAAUCGCUAGUAAUCGCAGGUCAGCAUACUGCGGUGAAUACGUUCCCGGGCCUUGUACACACCGCCCGUCACACCAUGGGAGCUGGCCAUGCCCGAAGUCGUUACUCCAACCCGUAAGGGAGGAGGACGCCGAAGGUGGGGCUGGUGACUGGGGUGAAGUCGUAACAAGGUAGCCGUACCGGAAGGUGUGGCUGGAUCACCUCCUU